This 685-nucleotide long non-coding RNA is filed under the name Cyanistes caeruleus (blue tit). RNAcentral's name for it is "lncRNA (ENSCCEG00000004507.1)". The record is from RNAcentral. Lineage: Eukaryota; Metazoa; Chordata; Aves; Passeriformes; Paridae.
GUCAGAGCCACGAGAGCCCGGCUCGGUGCCAGCAGGGCCAGCAGCCAGCCCGGCCUCAGGGACAGCCACCACCUGGAGGAAAAGGCCAUUACAGGUCCUUGAAGAUGAAAUGGCAUAAAAUUAAUUUCUACAUCAGAAUUUGCCUGCAGCCAGGAUCUCCUUGAGGGGUUUGCCAAGGCUCUGACGGAGCAGCUGCCCAGGGAGCCCAGGAUGGUGAAAGAAAAUGAAAGGGACAAAGCUCUCCGUGGCUGAGCAGAGCAGCUGGGCCGGGGCUGGUGUCUGCAGGCAGGCUGGGAGUCGGGAGCAGAGCUGCAGCUGCCAGAGCUGUCUGCAAGCUGUGCAGAUGAACAGAAAGCUCCAAAGAGGAAAACCCUGAUGAAAACCAGAAAUGAAAUUGUAUGAAGAGGAAAAUGUUCUUUCUGUUUCAAAGAAAUGAAGCCUUUUCCAGAACAUACCACUGGCAUUUCUGAACCCAAAUACCAACAGGUUAAGAAAGAAACACAUUGAGAAUUCUCCAGAAACACAAGCAGAUAACAAUGACAGCUUUCACCCUUCUUUCCCUGGUCUGCUUUAUUUCACAGGGAGAGAGGAAUAGAAAACUGUAUGGAAGGCAAUUGGAAAAGUCAACACUCAGCAAAGACUUCAAAUGGUGUGACCAAUGUGGCUUUCAGAAUAAUAAAUGGCU